AUUGAACGCUGGCGGCGUGCUUAACACAUGCAAGUCGUGCGGUAACAGGCGUAGCAAUACGUGCUGACGAGCGGCGAACGGGUGCGUAAUACAUGGGAAUCUGCCUUUAGUGGGAGUAACCCGGCGAAAGCCGGGCUAAUGCCGCAUAAGAUCUUCGGAUGGAAAGCGGGGGAUCGUAAGACCUCGCGCUGAUAGACUGAGCCCAUGCCGGAUUAGGCUAGNGGUGAGGUAACGGCUCACCAAGGCGACGAUCCGUAGCUGGUCUGA
RNAcentral lists this ribosomal RNA (267 nucleotides) under uncultured bacterium. RNAcentral describes it as "partial 16S ribosomal RNA". It matches the Rfam family "Bacterial small subunit ribosomal RNA", at positions 30 to 295 of the family's 1533-position model. The record is from RNAcentral.